AGGGAAUAGAUACCCUGGUAGUCCACGCAGUAAACGAUGAGUGCUAGUCAUUGGGAUCUUAGAUUUCGGUGGCGAAAGCUAACGCGUUAAGCACUCCGCCUGGGGAGUACGGCCGCAAGGCUAAAACUCAAAGGAAUUGACGGGGACCCGCACAAGCAGUGGAGCAUGUGGUUUAAUUCGAUGCUACGCGAAAACCUUACCAGCUCUUGUAUCCUCACUAUGAUUUUCAGAGAUGAAUUUCUUCACUUCGGGUGGGUGAGAGACAGGUGUUGCAUGGCUGUCGUCAGCUCGUGUCGUGAGAUGUUAGGUUUAAGUCCUUCAACGAGCGCAACCCUCAUCCUUAUUUGCCAUCGGGUUAUGCCGGGAACUAUAAGGAAACUGCCAACGACAAGUUGGAGGAAGGUGGGGAGUGAUGUCAAGUCAUCAUGGCCCGUUAUGGGUCUGGGGUCUACACACAUGCUACAAUGGUGGUCACAACGGGAAAGCGAAGGAGCAAUCUGGAGCCAAUCCUUCAAAAG
This 518-nucleotide ribosomal RNA is filed under the name uncultured bacterium. Its description in RNAcentral is "bacterial SSU rRNA". It matches the Rfam family "Bacterial small subunit ribosomal RNA", at positions 773 to 1282 of the family's 1533-position model. The record is from RNAcentral.